AACCUGGUUGAUCCUGCCAGUAGUCAUACGCUCGUCUCAUUAGAUUAAGCCAUGCAUGUCUAAGUAUAAACGAUUUUAGUACUUGUGAACACUGCGAAUGGCUCAUUAUAUCAGUUAUACUUUAUUUGAUAGUCCCUUACUACAUGGAUACCCGUAGUAAUACUAGAGCUAAUACCUGCAUAGACUCCCAACUAGCUUCGGCGGACGGGACGUAUUUAUUAGAUUCGAAACCAAUGCGGGGGA
This 243-nucleotide ribosomal RNA is filed under the name uncultured marine eukaryote. RNAcentral describes it as "partial 18S ribosomal RNA". It matches the Rfam family "Eukaryotic small subunit ribosomal RNA", at positions 1 to 234 of the family's 1831-position model. The record is from RNAcentral.